GUUAUAUGGUCAAGCGAUUAAGCGCAUACGGUGGAUGCCUUGGCGGCAAGAGGCGAUGAAGGACGUGGUAGCCUGCGAUUCGGGGAGCCGGCAAACAGGCUUUGAUCCGGGGAUGUCCGAAUGGGGAAACCUGCCCGCAAGGGUAUCUGUGCCUGAAUCCAUAGGGUACAGAGGCGAACCCGGGGAACUGAAACAUCUAAGUACCCGGAGGAAAAGAAAUCAACCGAGAUUCNNUCCGGCCAUAGACGGUGAUAGCCCGGUAAGCGAAAUGUGUGACCGGUGGGUGACGAUGAGUAAGACGGGACACGUGUUAUCUUGUCUGAAGAUGGGGGGACCAUCCUCCAAGGCUAAAUA
RNAcentral lists this ribosomal RNA (354 nucleotides) under Gammaproteobacteria bacterium. RNAcentral describes it as "partial 23S ribosomal RNA". It matches the Rfam family "Bacterial large subunit ribosomal RNA", at positions 1 to 472 of the family's 2925-position model. The record is from RNAcentral. RNAcentral also lists the same sequence under 1 other name. Lineage: Bacteria; Pseudomonadati; Pseudomonadota; Gammaproteobacteria.